Molecule: transfer RNA, 59 nt
Filed under: Merluccius polli (Benguela hake)
Lineage: Eukaryota; Metazoa; Chordata; Actinopteri; Gadiformes; Merlucciidae
Description: tRNA-Arg
Rfam family: tRNA
About the family: Transfer RNA (tRNA) molecules are approximately 80 nucleotides in length. Their secondary structure includes four short double-helical elements and three loops (D, anti-codon, and T loops).
Source: RNAcentral
UGGCCUAAAGGAUAAGGCGCCUGACUUCUGAUCAGAAGAUUGAGGGUUCGAGUCCCUUC